CGGGGUGAGGAACACGUGGGUUAUCUGCCUUGAGGGUGAGGAAUACCGGCGAGAAAUCGCCGACAAUACCGCAUACCCUUUGCACAAAGGAAAGCUUCGCAAGAGGCGCCACAAGAUGAGCCUGCGGCCGAUUAGCUGGUUGGUGGGGUAACGGCCUACCAAGGCGACGAUCGGUAGCUGGUCUGAGAGGACGAUCAGCCACACUGGGAUUGAGAACGGCCCAG
Molecule: ribosomal RNA, 224 nt
Filed under: uncultured bacterium
Lineage: Bacteria
Description: partial 16S ribosomal RNA
Rfam family: Bacterial small subunit ribosomal RNA
Source: RNAcentral